GCCGGGUUAGCUCAGUCGGUAGAGCAGAGGACUGAAAAUCCUCGUGUCCGUGGUUCGAUUCCGCGACCCGGCACCA
RNAcentral lists this transfer RNA (76 nucleotides) under Pseudomonadota bacterium. RNAcentral describes it as "tRNA-Phe". It matches the Rfam family "tRNA". Rfam says of the family: Transfer RNA (tRNA) molecules are approximately 80 nucleotides in length. Their secondary structure includes four short double-helical elements and three loops (D, anti-codon, and T loops). Further hydrogen bonds mediate the characteristic L-shaped molecular structure. tRNAs have two regions of fundamental functional importance: the anti-codon, which is responsible for specific mRNA codon recognition, and the 3' end, to which the tRNAs corresponding amino acid is attached (by aminoacyl-tRNA synthetases). tRNAs cope with the degeneracy of the genetic code in two manners: having more than one tRNA (with a specific anti-codon) for a particular amino acid; and 'wobble' base-pairing, i.e. permitting non-standard base-pairing at the 3rd anti-codon position. The record is from RNAcentral. RNAcentral also lists the same sequence under 1 other name. Lineage: Bacteria; Pseudomonadati; Pseudomonadota.